GUCUACGCCCAUACCACUGUGAACAAGCCCGAUGUCUGAUCUUGGAAGCUAAGCAGAGUCGGGCCUGGUUAGUACUUGGAUAGGAGACCGCCUAGGAAGACCAGGUGCUUUAGGAA
This 116-nucleotide ribosomal RNA is filed under the name Pteropus alecto (black flying fox). Lineage: Eukaryota; Metazoa; Chordata; Mammalia; Chiroptera; Pteropodidae. The record is from RNAcentral.